Molecule: long non-coding RNA, 285 nt
Filed under: Nicotiana benthamiana
Lineage: Eukaryota; Viridiplantae; Streptophyta; Magnoliopsida; Solanales; Solanaceae
Description: long non-coding RNA (NBEN_LNC021854)
Source: RNAcentral
UAUCUAGCUCGACCUGGCCCUCAGAUGGCUCGUCCUCAUUUCUGGGAGGGUACGCCUUGGAAAUCCAAGAACUGGACUCCAAGCGAUCGAUGUCUGCUGAGUUGCACCGCUCCCGGACGGUGAUUCACGACCGUAGCCCGCCGCCUCACGAGCGACUCUAACUAAUUGGCGCUGGUGCUUAAACUCCGCUUCAGACACCCGACCAGCCGCCAGGAAUUCCUCAAGCACGACCAGCCUAGCCUUCGCAUACACCCACAUCUCGUGCGCCUCGCAAGACAUAUUGAC